AGGUCACUGACAUUAGAUACCCCCUGUAGUCCAGGGUGUAAACGCUGCAGACUUGGUGUUGGAAGUCCUUUGGGGGCAUUCAGUGCCGGAGAGAAGUUGUUAAGUCUGCUACUUGGGGAGUACGUCCGCAAGGAUGAAACUUAAAGGAAUUGGCGGGGGAGCACCGCAACGGGAGGAGCGUGCGGUUUAAUUGGAUUCAACACCGUAAAACUCACCAGGGAAGACUGUUACAUGAAGGCCGAGAUGAAGACUCUGCUAGAUUUUCAG
RNAcentral lists this ribosomal RNA (267 nucleotides) under uncultured archaeon. RNAcentral describes it as "partial 16S ribosomal RNA". It matches the Rfam family "Archaeal small subunit ribosomal RNA", at positions 714 to 982 of the family's 1478-position model. The record is from RNAcentral.